Molecule: long non-coding RNA, 3183 nt
Organism: Psammomys obesus (fat sand rat)
Lineage: Eukaryota; Metazoa; Chordata; Mammalia; Rodentia; Muridae
Exons: 4
Source: RefSeq, a predicted model, not a curated record
UUGGGAGGUGGAGUACCAAAGAAUGUUCGGGCAUUGAGGACUUGUGUUGGGGGUGGAGAGAGGCUUCGGUCUCGCCGUCUGUGUUUUCUUCUUCCCUAGAGCACACCUACUCCAGUCGCCAUCUUUCAUUGCCUCCACUGGUGCAGUCCCUGCUCUACCUGCCGUGGUUUGCGACAAGCCCUUCCCGGGCCCGUCUGCUCCGCUUCAUCUGCUUCAUCUGCUCCUUCUCUCUCUCUCUCUUCCUAAGUGCCAGGGUGGCUCCCACUGCCUUUCAUCCUGUUACUGUGCAAUGGAGCCGCCUGACCCCGAGUAUCCUGUCUGUGUUGUGCAGGGGGUCCUCACAGGUGCAGCAUAGCUGCAGCCUUCCAGCCUGCAGAAGCAGCCUCGAAGGAGCAUACUCACAGACACAUCGCCGGGAGCAGCUUAGUCACAUGCUCAUUGCUGAAGCCACUGUAGCCGGAAAGUGCAGGCAUGUGAUUAGGAAGAUGUCCUUGGGCUUGAACUCACCUCUACAGAAGAGAGAAAUCUGCGCUGACUGAAAACAAGCCUGGAAGUAGGGCUCAGGGUGAAGCCGAAUGUGAAGCCCAGAAGAACAGAGGCUAGCUCUUGAGGAAGAUGAGAUCUACAAACACAGCAGAAAAAAACAGCCCAGGUUGACACAAGAUUAUAUUGGGUCUGGUAGACUCUCUCUUCAUUACGAAGCUCUGCAUCGUUAAGCAGUUAGAAUAGUAUCCUGCAGAGCGUGAUGGCCUCAUUACAUCUUCCUGAAACCCCCUCUUUGGAAGUCAUAGCUUCAAACUUUACAGAGACGUGACGCUGCCUCCUCCAGACAACAUAACAGAUGUGUAUUGGUCAGGGACGCCCUGAUUCCUCCCUGGGAUGCCUUUAGCCUUCUAUGGGAACCUGAGCUGGUGUCUUCAAGUGGGGGGUGGGGCUUUAACUUAUGUUGUGUCACAGUGGUCUCCCCAUUUAUUUAAUGGGGUUCCAGUGACCAGAACAUGUCUGGUCCUUCUUUGUAUGCCAUAGUUCUCAGACCAGAGGUUUUCAGUGAACUUAGAACCAAUCCUGAGUUGAGCCUUGAGGGAGAAACAGAAGGUCAGGCAGCAUCCUGUGGCCUUCUGGCCUUCCUGCCUGGCCUUCUGCAGUUGCUAAUCUGUUUAGGGAUAAACACCAUUAAGAACGAGUUGAUUGGCGGUUGUCGACAGACCCACCAAUGCCAGAGCGAAUGAAUGCGGUGCACCCAAGGUUGAAAUUAGGGGGAAAAGCAUUAAUCUGGAGGUUGAAAUUAAAUCACAGACACAUCACUGUUUAAAUUAAGUCUUUCAUUCACACUGCUUCUGGUCACGAGGCAAGAACCUUGGCCACUGAUGUUUCUUUAUGUCCCCUCUGUGUGACUCCGGAUGUGACCCAAACCCACAAAUGACCCCACCGUGUCGCCAAGAGACACACUAGUGCAGAGGGAGCAUGUUCAGAUGCGAAAAUGUCUGUGUGGGUUGUAAAGGACCCUUCCGAGCCUGAAAUCUUCAUCUGUGGAUUUUCGGUGAUCCUGACAUCCUCAGUGCCUCCCCGGUCACUAGCUAACAUGAAGGUCUCACGUAGCUGAAAGCUUCCUGCCUGAGGCCAGAGGACUGGCCCAUUGUGGCAGCUUCCUUGAGUCUCUGGAAUCUUUCCUCCUCUGUCUUCCCGGUUCUUGGCCACAGAUCUCACUCUGUGCCCUCCAGCUGUAGACCAGCUGGUGAUAGUUCACCUGACUUGCCAUCUCCCGCUUCCUGCAAUGGAUCUGAGUCCUGCUGGGCACCUAGACUUAGCUCUCUUUAGGCGGGUGGUUCAUGUCUAGGACUCACUGCUGACUCCCUUGUGAGCUCUCAAGGCUCUACACCAAAUGCUGCUCAGCUUACGUGCGAGUCCAGGCCACCCUCAUUGGGGUCAGCACAGGAUGCCAGCCGCACCUCUCUGCUUCUCCAGGGAUGUUCCCCUGGCCCUUUAGCCCCGGGCUGGGAGCCUGUCUCUGUGACUUUGGUCACUCAGGACACUCUCAGUUCAGACUGUCAUUGUGAGGAGGGGAAGCUUGACACUGCCACCCACUCAGGCCACUGUGAGACGUGAACAAGGCAAUGCUUUUGACAGAGGCAGACAGGGGCAGACUUAUAGAUCACGCGCUGCACUGCGGCCUUUGGAACUAGCCAUUUUAAGGGAGCUGGGGCUUCUGCCACUGUGGACACGCCGGGACCACCAUUAGUGAUAACCCUGUGACCACCACUCUCUUUACCUCUACGCUGUCACUGCCACUUUGCUUCCCCCGCCACUCUUACUACCAUGAUGGCUUCUGCUGGUUCCGAGGCGUAACCACCGCUAUUGUCUUCCCCCGUCUCUGCCACCACUACAGCUGCUAACACCCUCAUCACUGUCGCUAUCGCUGCUGCACACCGCCCUCACCGUGGCUGCCAUCAUACCCACGGUUGCUACAACCACGGCUCCUACCGCUGUGAAGACCUCCCCAGUGAAGAAAGAAUUGGAUUAAUGCUUACUAGAAUUUAGCCCCAUCAUUCACGGUGGAUGAAAUGGUGGCUGCUGCGACAGAGCAUCUGUUUGGCAGGCAAUUAAUGCACAAAGAAUGAGGGUGAAAGAGCGCAGGGCAAUGGCCUAAGCUCCGUGGGGAAACGCAUACAAUGUUGAUUAGAGCUGCAGGCUUCAAUGGUCCUACAUAAAUGGAAAAAGCUUAAAACCCACAAGCAUUUUAAAGAAAGGUCCUGAGCCAAAGAAAGAUGUAAACUCUUCAGGCAGGAGAUGUUAGUUUUGACCCCCACAGGGAUGCUAGAGAUAAGAAAGCAAGGUGAUAAAAUCAAAUCAGCAAGAAAAGUGGUGUCUAGCCUGGGAUUCUAUGCCCAGCCAGGCUGCCUCUGAUGGCAUCGUUGCAGAAUAAUCUGAUGUGCCACUAAUGCCACAGAUGGCAGAAUGAUCUAGGGUUACAGCUGAGUUGGGAUGGUGCUCGAACCCCUGGGUUCCUUCCCCACCACUGUAUGGUGGUGUAUGCCUGUCAUUUCAGCACUCAAGUGGGACACGUGAGAAGCAGAAAUUCAAGGUCAUUCUUGACUAUAUAGCAAGUUCAAGGCUGAUCUGGGGCUACAUGAAACUUUGUGUAAAAUAACAUCAGAACAGAAUAAAAUAACAAAAGAACAGUAA